RNAcentral lists this ribosomal RNA (606 nucleotides) under uncultured bacterium. RNAcentral describes it as "bacterial SSU rRNA". It matches the Rfam family "Bacterial small subunit ribosomal RNA", at positions 60 to 653 of the family's 1533-position model. The record is from RNAcentral.
AGUCGAGGGGCAGCAUGGUCUUAGCUUGCUAAGGCUGAUGGCGACCGGCGCACGGGUGAGUAACACGUAUCCAACCUGCCGUCUACUCUUGGCCAGCCCUCUGAAAGGAAGAUUAAUCCAGGAUGGGAUCAUGAGUUCACAUGUCCGCAUGAUUAAAGGUAUUUUCCGGUAGACGAUGGGGAUGCGUUCCAUUAGAUAGUAGGCGGGGUAACGGCCCACCUAGUCAACGAUGGAUAGGGGUUCUGAGAGGAAGGUCCCCCACAUUGGAACUGAGACACGGUCCAAACUCCUACGGGAGGCAGCAGUGAGGAAUAUUGGUCAAUGGGCGAUGGCCUGAACCAGCCAAGUAGCGUGAAGGAUGACUGCCCUAUGGGUUGUAAACUUCUUUUAUAAAGGAAUAAAGUCGGGUAUGCAUACCCGUUUGCAUGUACUUUAUGAAUAAGGAUCGGCUAACUCCGUGCCAGCAGCCGCGGUAAUACGGAGGAUCCGAGCGUUAUCCGGAUUUAUUGGGUUUAAAGGGAGCGUAGAUGGAUGUUUAAGUCAGUUGUGAAAGUUUGCGGCUCAACCGUAAAAUUGCAGUUGAUACUGGAUGUCUUGAGUGCAGUU